UACUCUGAGAGACCUUUGUAGUCCAAACAACUCAAGGAUGACGAAGUGGAGAACUCAAAAUGAUCCGUUGUGGGAUGCAUUAAUACACACAACUAAUUUUUCCCCAGCAUCAGAACCUCAAAGAAGUGCCUGGUUAAAUUUUUCAUGACACAUCUGGGGGCAAAAUCCUGCGCGUCUGUGUGAGGACGAGUGUUCCAGAAAUCUCAGUAUAUUGUCACUACAGAGAAGGAUUUGCCGAAAGACUUAGUUUCAUUGAGGUUUCAGUUCCUUCAAUGUAUGGAAACGACGGACAAAGUAAAGCGAUGGAGGAUGCUGCAUAAAGCAGCUCAAGGAGUGCAAUGCCCAAGGUUUUGUGAUCAGUUGGGAGAUAGGAAGACUCGUGACCAUCGGAUGUACUACUUUUGUAAGAGCAGCAUUGCGGUGACAUUACGACACUAAAUUCAAACGUUAUCCUCAACACAAGCAGUAGUCGGUUCUGAUCAUUUUCCAUUACAUGUUAAUCAAAAGCAUUCAAUGAUGUGUCUGAACAUUAAGAAGCCAUAAAACACGACAUAAACGAGGUCAACUACCUGCAGACUGACUCCUUCAUCUGAAUUUCUGAUGUAAAAGCCGGGGGGCAAAAACAACUACCGUAAUUUUCGGAGUAUAAGUCGCACCAGCCAUAAAAUGCCCAGAAAAGUGAAAAAAAAAAACAUAUAUAUGUAUAUGUCGCUCCUGAGUACAAGUCGCCCCCCCACCCAAACUAUGAAAAAAACCGCGACUUAUAGUCCGAAAAUUACGGUAGUUACUCUUCCCCGUUCUUUGGUUGCUUCUGUGCAUAUUUAUUAUAGAGCGAAUUGUAAUUACACAGACAGAUAUUUGAUUAUCAGGAGCACACAAAAGACCAGUCUGAGGUCUUACAGUUCGAAAAACAGAGUAGGUAACAUUUAUUGUAUUUUUAACACUUGUAGUUUUACUGUUUUUAUUUUUAGUCAAUGGGCUGGCUCAAGUGUUCAGAAUAUGUAGAUAUCGGCUUUAAUUAGGUAUAUUGACUUGCAGUUUAACUUCAUUGUUAACACAAUUCCCCUGCACGUCUGAUGUGCUCAGGUUGCUAGGAGACAGAGCAAUGCUUUUCACAGUAUUCUUACUUAUGAGUUUAAAACAUGCCUCGGAAAAUGUCAGGAGAGAUAUCAUAAUAACAAUUAAUUCAAAGCACAGUUCAUUUCCAAUGUUACACAAAACACAAACUGAAUUUGCCAGUUUUACUUCAACAAACAUUCAAUGUGAAAGUUGAGUCUUCAGCACAUUGACCACAGCAGAUUAUGCAGUUUGACAUUAUUAAA
This is a long non-coding RNA of Syngnathus typhle (broad-nosed pipefish), 1322 nucleotides long. RefSeq lists it as uncharacterized. NCBI's taxonomy places the organism in Eukaryota, Metazoa, Chordata, Actinopteri, Syngnathiformes, Syngnathidae. The record is from RefSeq and is a predicted model, not a curated record. The transcript has 2 exons.